GGGGUGGCGCCGACGUAGGAGAGUCGGGCCUGCCUGUAAAGCAGGUGCCUCACGCUGAGUGGGUUCGAAUCCCACCCGCCCCA
This 83-nucleotide transfer RNA is filed under the name Thermomonospora echinospora. RNAcentral describes it as "Actinomadura echinospora tRNA_Tyr_GTA". It matches the Rfam family "tRNA". From Rfam's summary of the family: Transfer RNA (tRNA) molecules are approximately 80 nucleotides in length. Their secondary structure includes four short double-helical elements and three loops (D, anti-codon, and T loops). Further hydrogen bonds mediate the characteristic L-shaped molecular structure. tRNAs have two regions of fundamental functional importance: the anti-codon, which is responsible for specific mRNA codon recognition, and the 3' end, to which the tRNAs corresponding amino acid is attached (by aminoacyl-tRNA synthetases). tRNAs cope with the degeneracy of the genetic code in two manners: having more than one tRNA (with a specific anti-codon) for a particular amino acid; and 'wobble' base-pairing, i.e. permitting non-standard base-pairing at the 3rd anti-codon position. The record is from RNAcentral. Lineage: Bacteria; Bacillati; Actinomycetota; Actinomycetes; Streptosporangiales; Thermomonosporaceae.